GUAGCUUGCUACUUUGCCGGCGAGCGGCGGACGGGUGAGUAAUGUCUGGGAAACUGCCUGAUGGAGGGGGAUAACUACUGGAAACGGUAGCUAAUACCGCAUGACCUCGCAAGAGCAAAGUGGGGGACCUUCGGGCCUCACGCCAUCGGAUGUGCCCAGAUGGGAUUAGCUAGUAGGUGAGGUAAUGGCUCACCUAGGCGACGAUCCCUAGCUGGUCUGAGAGGAUGACCAGCCACACUGGAACUGAGACACGGUCCAGACUCCUACGGGAGGCAGCAGUGGGGAAUAUUGCACAAUGGGCGCAAGCCUGAUGCAGCCAUGCCGCGUGUGUGAAGAAGGCCUUAGGGUUGUAAAGCACUUUCAGCGAGGAGGAAGGGUUCAGUGUUAAUAGCACUGAGCAUUGACGUUACUCGCAGAAGAAGCACCGGCUAACUCCGUGCCAGC
RNAcentral lists this ribosomal RNA (444 nucleotides) under Yersiniaceae bacterium. RNAcentral's name for it is "bacterial SSU rRNA". It matches the Rfam family "Bacterial small subunit ribosomal RNA", at positions 75 to 512 of the family's 1533-position model. The record is from RNAcentral. Lineage: Bacteria; Pseudomonadati; Pseudomonadota; Gammaproteobacteria; Enterobacterales; Yersiniaceae.